Molecule: non-coding RNA, 84 nt
Organism: Suillus variegatus
Lineage: Eukaryota; Fungi; Basidiomycota; Agaricomycetes; Boletales; Suillaceae
Source: the annotation of a GenBank genome assembly
GGCCUGGUGGUCUAGUAGUAUGAUUCCUUGUUAGGGUGUUCGUUAAUUUCGAGGAGGUCCCGGGUUCAAUUCCCGGCCAGGCCC